RNAcentral lists this ribosomal RNA (389 nucleotides) under uncultured bacterium. Its description in RNAcentral is "bacterial SSU rRNA". It matches the Rfam family "Bacterial small subunit ribosomal RNA", at positions 29 to 408 of the family's 1533-position model. The record is from RNAcentral.
AACGAACGCUGGCGGCGCGCCUAAUACAUGCAAGUCGAGCGAGAAGACGUAGCAAUACGUUUGUAAAGCGGCGAACGGGUGAGGAAUACAUGGGUAACCUACCCUCGAGUGGGGAAUAACUAGCCGAAAGGUUAGCUAAUACCGCGUACGCUCCUUGGACUUCGGUUCAGGGAGGAAAGCGAUACCGUGGGUAUCGCGCUCUUGGAUGGGCUCAUGUCCUAUCAGCUUGUUGGGAGGUAACGGCUCACCAAGGCUUCGACGGGUAGCUGGUCUGAGAGGACGAUCAGCCACACUGGCACUGCGACACGGGCCAGACUCCUACGGGAGGCAGCAGUAAGGAAUAUUGCGCAAUGGGCGAAAGCCUGACGCAGCGACGCCGCGGUGGGGGA